This 253-nucleotide ribosomal RNA is filed under the name uncultured bacterium. RNAcentral describes it as "partial 16S ribosomal RNA". It matches the Rfam family "Bacterial small subunit ribosomal RNA", at positions 524 to 776 of the family's 1533-position model. The record is from RNAcentral.
UACGAAGGGAGCGAGCGUUGUUCGGAAUCACUGGGCUUAAAGCGUACGUAGGUGGUUAUACAAGUAAGAAGUGAAAGCCCCGGGCUUAACCUGGGAAUUGCUUUUUAGACUGUAUGGCUAGAGUCCUGGAGAGGUUAGGAGAAUUCCGAGUGUAGAGGUGAAAUUCGCAGAUAUUCGGAGGAAUACCAGUGGCGAAGGCGCCUAACUGGACAGGUACUGACACUGAAGUACGAAAGCGUGGGUAGCAAACAGG